CGGGGUGCAGCAGGCGCGAAAACUUUACAAUGCGGGAAACCGUGAUAAGGGGACACCGAGUGCCAGCAUCAUAUGCUGGCUGUCCAGGUGUGUAAACUACACCUGUUAGCAAGGGCCGGGCAAGACCGGUGCCAGCCGCCGCGGUAACACCGGCGGCCCGAGUGGUGAUCGUGAUUAUUGGGUCUAAAGGGUCCGUAGCCGGUUUGGUCAGUCCUCCGGGAAAUCUGACGGCUCAACCGUUAGGCUUUCGGGGGAUACUGCCAGGCUUGGAACCGGGAGAGGUAAGAGGUACUACAGGGGUAGGAGUGAAAUCUUGUAAUCCCUGUGGGACCACCUGUGGCGAAGGCGUCUUACCAGAACGGGUUCGACGGUGAGGGACGAAAGCUGGGGGCACGAACCGGAUUAGAUACCCGGGUAGUCCCAGCCGUAAACGAUGCUCGCUAGGUGUCAGGCAUGGCGCGACCGUGUCUGGUGCCGCAGGGAAGCCGUGAAGCGAGCCACCUGGGAAGUACGGCCGCAAGGCUGAAACUUAAAGGAAUUGG
Molecule: ribosomal RNA, 542 nt
Filed under: uncultured archaeon
Lineage: Archaea
Description: bacterial SSU rRNA
Rfam family: Archaeal small subunit ribosomal RNA
Source: RNAcentral